CCACGUCCCGACGCAAUCCCCCCCGGCGCCGGGACCUUCCCUGAGCCGGGCUGCGGCGCCCCUCCCCCCGGGCGCCGUAGCCCGGCUCUUUU
Molecule: non-coding RNA, 92 nt
Filed under: Streptomyces sp. CdTB01
Lineage: Bacteria; Bacillati; Actinomycetota; Actinomycetes; Kitasatosporales; Streptomycetaceae
Description: Streptomyces RNA 3202
Rfam family: Streptomyces RNA 3202
About the family: Identified by deep sequencing of transcriptome at the end of exponential growth phase.
Source: Rfam by way of RNAcentral